UACGGAGGAUGCAAGCGUUAUCCGGAAUGAUUGGGCGUAAAGCGUCCGCAGGUGGCUGUGUAAGUCUGCUGUCAAAGAGCAAAGCUCAACUUUGUAAAGGCAGUGGAAACUACACGGCUAGAGUGCGUUCGGGGCAGAGGGAAUUCCUGGUGUAGCGGUGAAAUGCGUAGAGAUCAGGAAGAACACCGGUGGCGAAGGCGCUCUGCUGGGCCGCAACUGACACUGAGGGACGAAAGCUAGGGGAGCGAAUGGG
RNAcentral lists this ribosomal RNA (253 nucleotides) under uncultured bacterium. RNAcentral's name for it is "partial 16S ribosomal RNA". It matches the Rfam family "Bacterial small subunit ribosomal RNA", at positions 524 to 776 of the family's 1533-position model. The record is from RNAcentral.